CUGAGCAAGAUGGAGAAGCAGGGCACGUGCAAUUCUAACUCAUGAAACCAUAGAAUCAUCUUGUUUUUUCUUCUUUUCACUCUAACCAAAUAGAUUCCUCUACCUGCAGUGAGUUAGUCCUUCAUGUGCCCCCCUUCCCCAUCAUGACGGC
Molecule: microRNA precursor, 151 nt
Filed under: Glycine max (soybean)
Lineage: Eukaryota; Viridiplantae; Streptophyta; Magnoliopsida; Fabales; Fabaceae
Description: pre miRNA MIR164
Rfam family: MIR164 microRNA precursor family
Source: RNAcentral